Molecule: ribosomal RNA, 254 nt
Filed under: uncultured bacterium
Lineage: Bacteria
Description: partial 16S ribosomal RNA
Rfam family: Bacterial small subunit ribosomal RNA
Source: RNAcentral
UACGUAGGUGGCAAGCGUUGUCCGGAAUUAUUGGGCGUAAAGCGCGCGCAGGCGGCUAUCCAAGUCAGUGGUGAAAGCCCGGAGCUCAACUCCGGAACUGCCAUUGAAACUGUUUAGCUUGAGGACGGAGAGAGGUGAGUGGAAUUCCCAGUGUAGAGGUGAAAUUCGUAGAUAUUGGGAAGAACACCGGUGGCGAAGGCGGCUCACUGGCUCGUAUCUGACGCUCAGGCGCGACAGCGUGGGGAUCAAACAGG